UAUGACCAUAUCAUGUUGAAACAUUGGUUCUUGUCUGAUUACUGAAGUUAAGCAACAUCGAGCCUCAUCAGUACCUAAAUAGAUGACCACUUGGGAAUACCAGGUGCCGUAA
Molecule: non-coding RNA, 112 nt
Organism: Acanthosepion pharaonis
Lineage: Eukaryota; Metazoa; Mollusca; Cephalopoda; Sepiida; Sepiidae
Source: the annotation of a GenBank genome assembly